GGAUUGUGGCUCAGAGGAAAAGCGCUUGCCUUGCAUGCGUGAGGCACUGGGUUCAAUCCUCAGCACCA
Molecule: transfer RNA, 68 nt
Filed under: Marmota monax (woodchuck)
Lineage: Eukaryota; Metazoa; Chordata; Mammalia; Rodentia; Sciuridae
Description: tRNA.Ala
Source: RNAcentral